Molecule: ribosomal RNA, 500 nt
Filed under: uncultured bacterium
Lineage: Bacteria
Description: partial 16S ribosomal RNA
Rfam family: Bacterial small subunit ribosomal RNA
Source: RNAcentral
AUUGAACGCUGGCGGCAUGCCUUACACAUGCAAGUCGAACGGCAGCACGGGAGCAAUCCUGGUGGCGAGUGGCGAACGGGUGAGUAAAGUAUCGGAACGUGCCCAGUCGGGGGGGAUAACGUAGCGAAAGUUACGCUAAUACCGGAUACGAUCUAUGGAUGAAAGCGGGGGAUCGCAAGACCUCGCGCGAUUGGAGCGGCCGAUAGCAGAUUAGGUAGUUGGUGGGGUAAAGGCUCACCAAGCCGACGAUCUGUAGCUGGUCUGAGAGGACGACCAGCCACACUGGGACUGAGACACGGCCCAGACUCCUACGGGAGGCAGCAGUGGGGAAUUUUGGACAAUGGGCGAAAGCCUGAUCCAGCCAUGCCGCGUGCAGGAUGAAGGCCUUCGGGUUGUAAACUGCUUUUGUACGGAACGAAAAGGUUUGGGCUAAUAAGCUGAGCUCAUGACGGUACCGUAAGAAUAAGCACCGGCUAACUACGUGCCAGCCGCCGCAGUAA